This 299-nucleotide long non-coding RNA is filed under the name Chinchilla lanigera (long-tailed chinchilla). Its description in RNAcentral is "lncRNA (ENSCLAG00000025976.1)". The record is from RNAcentral. Lineage: Eukaryota; Metazoa; Chordata; Mammalia; Rodentia; Chinchillidae.
CUUUUAACAGACAAGUAAGCUGAAGCUCAGAGACCCGGAUGCACCUGCCCAAGGUCGCUCCACCAGCAGUGGCAGAGUCGACUGCAGAGCUGAGCUCCAAACCAACAUGCCCCUCGGGCCAGCCCUGGACACAAAGAUUCCUAAGGAGUGCUGAGGAGUCUUGCAAGAGUUCUGAAUCUGAUGUUCACCUCGAGCCUGAACAGAAGUCACAUCUCACAUAUGCACACAUGACUGGCUUUCAGCUACAGAGAAGGUCUGAGGACCAAAGGCAAAUCUAUUCAGAAGAAUUACAGACUCAG